GCUUGUCUCAAAGAUUAAGCCAUGCAUGUCUAAGUAUAAACAAAUUUGUACUGUGAAACUGCGAAUGGCUCAUUAAAUCAGUUAAAGUUUAUUUGAUAGUACCUUACUACUUGGAUAACCGUAGUAAUUCUAGAGCUAAUACAUGCGAAAAGACCCGACUUUUUGGAAGGGUUGUAUUUAUUAGAUACAAAACCAAUGCGGAGCAAUCCGGUUUGUGGUGAUUCAUAAUAACUUUGCGAAUCGCAUGGCCUUGCGCCGGCGAUGAAUCAUUCAAAUUUCUGCCCUAUCAACUUUCGAUGGUAAGGUAUUGGCCUACCAUGGUUACAACGGGUAACGGGGAAUUAGGGUUCGGUUCCGGAGAGGGCGCCUGAGAAAUGGCGACCACAUCCAAGGAAGGCAGCAGG
This 404-nucleotide ribosomal RNA is filed under the name Salpingoeca fusiformis. RNAcentral's name for it is "partial small subunit ribosomal RNA". It matches the Rfam family "Eukaryotic small subunit ribosomal RNA", at positions 30 to 432 of the family's 1831-position model. Lineage: Eukaryota; Choanoflagellata; Craspedida; Salpingoecidae. The record is from RNAcentral.